This 488-nucleotide ribosomal RNA is filed under the name uncultured bacterium. RNAcentral's name for it is "bacterial SSU rRNA". It matches the Rfam family "Bacterial small subunit ribosomal RNA", at positions 29 to 514 of the family's 1533-position model. The record is from RNAcentral.
AUUGAACGCUGACGGCAUGCUUAACACAUGCAAGUCGAACGCGAAAGUCCUUCGGGCGAGUAGAGUGGCGGACGGGUGAGUAACGCGUGGGAAUCUACCCUAGAGCGGGGGACAACCCGGGGAAACCCGGGCUAAUACCGCAUACGUCCUACGGGAGAAAGAGGGCCUCUGCUUGCACGCUCUCACUCCAGGAUGAGCCCACGUCCGAUUAGCUAGUUGGUAGGGUAAAGGCCUACCAAGGCCACGAUCGGUAGCUGGUCUGAGAGGAUGAUCAGCCACACUGGGACUGAGACACGGCCCAGACUCCUACGGGAGGCAGCAGUGGGGAAUAUUGGACAAUGGGCGCAAGCCUGAUCCAGCAAUGCCGCGUGUGUGAAGAAGGCCUGCGGGUUGUAAAGCACUUUCAGUGGGGAAGAACAGAUUCGGGUCAAUACCCGGAGCCCUGACGUUACCCACAGAAGAAGCACCGGCUAACUCCGUGCCAGCAG